AUGUGGGUGGCUCAGUUGGUUGAGCGUCUGACUUCAGCUCAGGUCAUGAUCUCAUGGGUUGGUGAGUUCAAGCCCCACAUC
RNAcentral lists this transfer RNA (81 nucleotides) under Felis catus (domestic cat). It matches the Rfam family "tRNA". Rfam says of the family: Transfer RNA (tRNA) molecules are approximately 80 nucleotides in length. Their secondary structure includes four short double-helical elements and three loops (D, anti-codon, and T loops). The record is from Rfam by way of RNAcentral. Lineage: Eukaryota; Metazoa; Chordata; Mammalia; Carnivora; Felidae.